UACGUAGGGGGCGAGCGUUGUCCGGAAUUACUGGGCGUAAAGCGCGCGUAGGCGGCUGGGUAAGUCGAUUGUGAAAGCCCCGGGCUCAACCUGGGAAUUGCAGUCGAUACUGCUCAGCUAGAGUGUGGGAGAGGGUGGUGGAAUUCCCGGUGUAGCGGUGAAAUGCGUAGAUAUCGGGAGGAACAUCAGUGGCGAAGGCGACCGCCUGGCCCAACACUGACGCUGAGGUGCGAAAGCGUGGGUAGCAAACAGG
This 253-nucleotide ribosomal RNA is filed under the name uncultured bacterium. Its description in RNAcentral is "partial 16S ribosomal RNA". It matches the Rfam family "Bacterial small subunit ribosomal RNA", at positions 524 to 776 of the family's 1533-position model. The record is from RNAcentral.